Salmo salar (Atlantic salmon) is the source of this 54-nucleotide non-coding RNA. Lineage: Eukaryota; Metazoa; Chordata; Actinopteri; Salmoniformes; Salmonidae. The record is from Rfam.
UGCAUUCACUACUGUAAGUCACUCUGGAUAAGAGCGUCUGCUAAAUGACUAUAA